UACGUAGGGUGCAAGCGUUGUUCGGAAUUAUUGGGCGUAAAGCGCACGUAGGCGGCUUAGUAAGUCGGAAGUGAAAUCCCACGGCUCAACCUUGGAAGUGCUUUCGAAACUGCUGAGCUUGAGUACGAAAGAGGAUCGCGGAAUUCCCGGUGUAGAGGUGAAAUUCGUAGAUAUCAGGAGGAACACCAGUGGCGAAGGCGGCGCUCUGGGUCGAUACUGACGCUGAGGUGCGAAAGCGUGGGGAGCAAACAGG
RNAcentral lists this ribosomal RNA (253 nucleotides) under uncultured bacterium. Its description in RNAcentral is "partial 16S ribosomal RNA". It matches the Rfam family "Bacterial small subunit ribosomal RNA", at positions 524 to 776 of the family's 1533-position model. The record is from RNAcentral.